AAAUGCCUAUGAUUCAUACAAGGUUGAUUAGAUAAUGGUGAUAUGACACUCAGAAAAAUAAUAAUAAUAACAUCACUCUCUCAGAAACCACACUAUUAAACAGCAGAAAACUACGGAACAGUACAACUUGUGGCAGCCUCACAAUAACACUGCCUGACAACCUUGGUUAUACCCACAAUUAACAUUCAAUAACAUUCAAUACCA
RNAcentral lists this unclassified non-coding RNA (204 nucleotides) under Hevea brasiliensis (rubber tree). The record is from RNAcentral. Lineage: Eukaryota; Viridiplantae; Streptophyta; Magnoliopsida; Malpighiales; Euphorbiaceae.